AAAACUGUUUCGUCUACAGUUGAAUUGCAAAAGCACACUAUCUUUUUUCAUCUUCUGUUGUCAAGAACAUCAGUCAGGAAGGAAGUUUCCAUCCCUGCUCUCCUUACAGCCAUCUGCUACAAGGUCACCAAGAUGAAGGGCCAAAAUAUCCUUCCGGCAUGCUGCCUGAGUCAGGAGGAUCACACUGAGUGAGGGAGUAAGCGCACGCUCCACGGAUUGACUAGUUUGGCCUAGCCACCAGAAGAC
This is a long non-coding RNA of Acanthopagrus latus (yellowfin seabream), 246 nucleotides long. RefSeq lists it as uncharacterized. NCBI's taxonomy places the organism in Eukaryota, Metazoa, Chordata, Actinopteri, Spariformes, Sparidae. The record is from RefSeq and is a predicted model, not a curated record. The transcript has 3 exons.